Molecule: small RNA, 65 nt
Organism: Candidatus Accumulibacter
Lineage: Bacteria; Pseudomonadati; Pseudomonadota; Betaproteobacteria
Rfam family: Betaproteobacteria toxic small RNA
About the family: Overexpression in amino aid rich medium attenuates growth, suggesting role in repressing amino acid intake and metabolism.
Source: Rfam
UGUCUCCUCCACCCUCCUCCUUUGGUGUGGAUUUAGCGCGGCUCCAACGAGCCGCGCUUUUUUUU